CUUGAGGUGAGCAGACCUGCAGAGCAGAGGCUAAACUAAACUAAAGGCUCUGACACUGCUGCCCAAAGGGGCCCUCCUUGAGAAAAGGGAGGACUCACCCUGGAGACAACCAGAGAGGGAAGUAUCCUUGGACAUGGGCAACUCCCUCUUAUUUCUUUUGGUUUGGAUUUCCCCACCAGGCGAAGGCCUUGGACUGAGCUGACCCCAGGAGCAGGAGAUGAGAGAAAGAGGCCCAGGCCCAGGCCCAGGGAGGGCAGCCUUAAGUAGCCUUGGUUGCCAGAUUACUGGUAGACCAAAGGGCCCUGGGUUGGAGCCCGGUGGAGUGAGAGGGACUGGGCUCCCCUUUCUACAACCCCCUUGGCAGUCUGGAGUUGUGGCUAUGACUACUAGGCCAUGCUUCCCAACCAGACCCUAAGUGAAGACCAUUACAAGAGAUCAUGAAUUUUAAGGUGUCCGAUUUCCACAGUCCCUGUGAAUGGCGAGUCUCUUGCCACAGUCUUCAUACCCUGCAACUUGGCCUAUAACUGCCCCUAUUGGUGAGAGGAUGGGAUUGGAUGGGUCAGAAGAGCAGAACUGGGGAAGAGAGACUUCUAAACCACAGAUGCAAAUCCAGCAAUCAAAAGUCAUUCACACCUAUUCAUCAAGUUAUCGUCAUUCCUGCAGGGGGGAAAAAAGCCAAGCGAAUGACAGCUGCUGAACUAUGGAGUCUGUGAACAGUCCAGGGACAAUCUGUUCUAUUUCCAGGCCACUUGACUUCAAAAAAAAAAAAGAGAGAAAAAAAUGAAAUAAAAAACAUAUGUAGUAGAAUAUUUAAAAGACCAUGCAUACCUCAAUAGCUUUACAAUGAUACUGUGGGACAACGAUAGUGGCUGGUAGUAAUGGCUUCUGGUGGCACACAGGAGUCCUUUGUAGGGAAAUAAGGGAAA
This is a long non-coding RNA of Chelonia mydas (Green sea turtle), 926 nucleotides long. RefSeq lists it as uncharacterized. The record is from RefSeq and is a predicted model, not a curated record. The transcript is spliced from 3 exons. Lineage: Eukaryota; Metazoa; Chordata; Testudines; Cheloniidae.